RNAcentral lists this ribosomal RNA (468 nucleotides) under uncultured bacterium. Its description in RNAcentral is "partial 16S ribosomal RNA". It matches the Rfam family "Bacterial small subunit ribosomal RNA", at positions 28 to 507 of the family's 1533-position model. The record is from RNAcentral.
GACGAACGCUGGCGGCGUGCUUAACACAUGCAAGUCGAACGGAAAGACCCUGCUUUUGUGGGGUGCUCGAGUGGCGAACGGGUGAGUAACACGUGAGUAACCUGCCCUUGACUUUGGGAUAACUUCAGGAAACUGGGGCUAAUACCGGAUAGGAGCUCCUGCUGCAUGGUGGGGGUUGGAAAGUUUCGGCGGUUGGGGAUGGACUCGCGGCUUAUCAGCUUGUUGGUGGGGUAGUGGCUUACCAAGGCUUUGACGGGUAGCCGGCCUGAGAGGGUGACCGGCGACAUUGGGACUGAGAUACGGCCCAGACUCCUACGGGAGGCAGCAGUGGGGAAUAUUGCACAAUGGGCGGAAGCCUGAUGCAGCAACGCCGCGUGCGGGAUGACGGCCUUCGGGUUGUAAACCGCUUUCGCCUGUGACGAAGCGUGAGUGACGGUAAUGGGUAAAGAAGCACCGGCUAACUACGUG